GGACGAACCUCUGGUGUUCCGGUUGUCACGCCAGUGGCAUUGCCGGGUAGCUAUGUUCGGAAGCGAUAACCGCUGAAAGCAUCUAAGCGGGAAGCGCGCCUCAAGAUGAGAUCUCCCGGGGCACAAGCCCCCUGAAGGAACCAUGUAGACUACGUGGUUGAUAGGUCAGGUGUGUAAGUACAGCAAUGUAUUGAGCUAACUGAUACUAAUGAUCCGUGCGGCUUGACCAU
RNAcentral lists this ribosomal RNA (230 nucleotides) under Streptomyces javensis. RNAcentral describes it as "partial 23S ribosomal RNA". It matches the Rfam family "Bacterial large subunit ribosomal RNA", at positions 2699 to 2925 of the family's 2925-position model. Lineage: Bacteria; Bacillati; Actinomycetota; Actinomycetes; Kitasatosporales; Streptomycetaceae. The record is from RNAcentral.